UACAUGGGGUGCAAACGUUGCUCGGAAUUAUUGGGCGUAAAGCGCACGUAGGCGGUUUGUUAAGUCGGAUGUGAAAUCCCUCGGCUCAACUGAGGAAGUGCACCCGAAACUGGCAAGCUUGAGUACGAAAGAGGGUCGCGGAAUUCCCGGUGUAGAGGUGAAAUUCGUAGAUAUCGGGAGGAACACCAGUGGCGAAGGCGGCGACCUGGACGGACACUGACGCUGAGACGCGAAAGCGUGGGGAGCAAACAGG
Molecule: ribosomal RNA, 253 nt
Filed under: uncultured prokaryote
Description: partial 16S ribosomal RNA
Rfam family: Bacterial small subunit ribosomal RNA
Source: RNAcentral